This is a long non-coding RNA of Pseudopipra pipra, 950 nucleotides long. RefSeq lists it as uncharacterized. The record is from RefSeq and is a predicted model, not a curated record. The transcript has 3 exons. NCBI's taxonomy places the organism in Eukaryota, Metazoa, Chordata, Aves, Passeriformes, Pipridae.
UUCAGGACCAAGGAGAGCUCCACCCGUGACGCUGCGGUUGCUCCUUGCCGGCGCCGGCGAGAAAAGAUUCGGUUUCACCGGAUCAUCGAAAAUGCCACCCUACUUGCUCCAUCUUACUCAUCAUUUCCAAAUUAGCUGAACUUGAUUGAGCCAGAUCAGGCUGCAGCCCUCGUGCACCAAGGCAAAGAGAAAUUAGUCACUGCACUCCCUCCUUGGCAAACUCCUGCUUUUAAGAGCAUGGCUUUGUGCAUCUGAAUCGAGCAGAGGCCACGUCUCUCCUGAUGCUUUGUGUGGACUCUUGAAUUCAAUUUCCCACUCUUUGUCUGCAAACUCCAGUCAAUAGGAAACGAUGAAGAUGUCCCCAGGGGAAGAGGGGUGUCUUUGUUUGUAUUAAUUCAGGAACAUUUUCUCUCUCCUUAUUCCCUGAUGCAACAGAGGAAAGCUGGAAAGCAGCUCACUGAUGAUUUCUUACUGAGGGUCAGUCUGUGAUCCCUGUGCUUCCAGAGAGAAAUUAUUUACUGCAGGCUGGGCUCUUUCUGCAGAGCUCAGGGAAGGGCUGGGUAAAAUUCAGGCCCCAGAAGAGACUUUUGAAACCUUGAUAGACAAGAGUGUGCCCAGUUUUUCACCUGUUCCUCUCAUACAUAAAAUGUCUCACUUCAGUUACAACCUUCCACCUUGCCCAUGUUGAGAAGGUGAGGGAUCAUUGUCAGUAAUGGAGGGGUUAUUUGCUGGAGGACAACUGGGAAACUGGGGAGUUCAAAAGAUACAAACAGCACUGUAGAAGCAUCUGUGUGAAUGAAAUAGAAUAAUCCCCAAAAAUGCCCCCAGAAUAAAGUUAAGGAGGAAAUGGAACCACCCAGGACUUCCAGAUGGGAGUGACUUGUAGAAGUUUGCAUCCAAAUUCAAAUUUCUCAAGUGGGAAUUCUUAACUCUGAAUCACAUGUGAAUCU